CGGAGGGGCUAGCGUUGUUCGGAAUUACUGGGGCGUAAAGCGCACGUAGGCGGAUCAGAAAGUUGGGGGUGAAAUCCCGGGGGCUCAACCUCGGAACUGCCUUCAAAAACUAUUGGUCUUGAGUUCGAGAGAGGUGAGUGGAAUUCCGAGUGUAGAGGUGAAAUUCGUAGAUAUUCGGAGGAACACCAGUGGCGAAGGCGGCUCACUGGCUCGAUACUGACGCUGAGGUGCGAAAGCGUGGGGAGCAAACAGGAUU
Molecule: ribosomal RNA, 256 nt
Filed under: uncultured bacterium
Lineage: Bacteria
Description: partial 16S ribosomal RNA
Rfam family: Bacterial small subunit ribosomal RNA
Source: RNAcentral